CUCUUAUCGAGAGUGGUGGAGGGACUGGCCCUAUGAAACCCGGCAACCUAUCAGCAAUCGUGCUGUAACGGUGCUAAAUCCUGCGGUGUAUCUUUAUACACUGAAAGAUAAGAG
Molecule: non-coding RNA, 114 nt
Filed under: Bacillus sp. (in: firmicutes)
Lineage: Bacteria; Bacillati; Bacillota; Bacilli; Caryophanales; Bacillaceae
Also listed under: 1 other name
Description: Bacillus sp. SAM-I sequence
Rfam family: SAM riboswitch aptamer (S box leader)
About the family: The SAM riboswitch is found upstream of a number of genes which code for proteins involved in methionine or cysteine biosynthesis in Gram-positive bacteria. The SAM riboswitch acts at the level of transcription termination control.
Source: RNAcentral